ACGGAGGGUGCAAGCGUUGAUCGGAAUUAUUGGGCGUAAAGAGCGUGUAGGCGGUAUGGUAAGUCAGAUGUGAAAGCCCUGGGCUCAACCCAGGAAGUGCAUUUGAUACUGCCAUUCUUGAGUAUGGGAGAGGAGAGUGGAAUUCCUAGUGUAGAGGUGAAAUUCGUAGAUAUUAGGAGGAACACCCGUGGCGAAGGCGGCUCUCUGGACCAAUACUGACGCUGAGACGCGAAAGCGUGGGGAGCAAACAGG
RNAcentral lists this ribosomal RNA (252 nucleotides) under uncultured bacterium. RNAcentral's name for it is "partial 16S ribosomal RNA". It matches the Rfam family "Bacterial small subunit ribosomal RNA", at positions 525 to 776 of the family's 1533-position model. The record is from RNAcentral.